Long non-coding RNA from Entelurus aequoreus (snake pipefish), 195 nucleotides. RefSeq lists it as uncharacterized. The transcript has 3 exons. The record is from RefSeq and is a predicted model, not a curated record. NCBI's taxonomy places the organism in Eukaryota, Metazoa, Chordata, Actinopteri, Syngnathiformes, Syngnathidae.
GGCUGCCAGGUGCGGUGGCUAAGCCUGGGGACAUGGGUAUGGGUGCCGACCAUCAGGGCCGAGUUGCGACGAGAGAGUGUGUCGAUGUUAAGAUAAUAAGCCGAGUUGGCCAGGUCCCUAAGUCUUGGAUGGCGAGCUGUAGAUAGGCCUUGAGCCCGAGCCCAAGGAUCUCCACCUCUCAACCCCUGAACUCCA